Molecule: ribosomal RNA, 866 nt
Filed under: Pseudomonas costantinii
Lineage: Bacteria; Pseudomonadati; Pseudomonadota; Gammaproteobacteria; Pseudomonadales; Pseudomonadaceae
Description: bacterial SSU rRNA
Rfam family: Bacterial small subunit ribosomal RNA
Source: RNAcentral
UGCAGUCGAGCGGUAGAGAGGAGCUUGCUUCUCUUGAGAGCGGCGGACGGGUGAGUAAUGCCUAGGAAUCUGCCUGGUAGUGGGGGAUAACGUUCGGAAACGGACGCUAAUACCGCAUACGUCCUACGGGAGAAAGCAGGGGACCUUCGGGCCUUGCGCUAUCAGAUGAGCCUAGGUCGGAUUAGCUAGUUGGUGAGGUAAUGGCUCACCAAGGCGACGAUCCGUAACUGGUCUGAGAGGAUGAUCAGUCACACUGGAACUGAGACACGGUCCAGACUCCUACGGGAGGCAGCAGUGGGGAAUAUUGGACAAUGGGCGAAAGCCUGAUCCAGCCAUGCCGCGUGUGUGAAGAAGGUCUUCGGAUUGUAAAGCACUUUAAGUUGGGAGGAAGGGCAGUUGCUUAAUACGUAACUGUUUUGACGUUACCGACAGAAUAAGCACCGGCUAACUCUGUGCCAGCAGCCGCGGUAAUACAGAGGGUGCAAGCGUUAAUCGGAAUUACUGGGCGUAAAGCGCGCGUAGGUGGUUUGUUAAGUUGGAUGUGAAAUCCCCGGGCUCAACCUGGGAACUGCAUUCAAAACUGACUGACUAGAGUAUGGUAGAGGGUGGUGGAAUUUCCUGUGUAGCGGUGAAAUGCGUAGAUAUAGGAAGGAACACCAGUGGCGAAGGCGACCACCUGGACUGAUACUGACACUGAGGUGCGAAAGCGUGGGGAGCAAACAGGAUUAGAUACCCUGGUAGUCCACGCCGUAAACGAUGUCAACUAGCCGUUGGAAGCCUUGAGCUUUUAGUGGCGCAGCUAACGCAUUAAGUUGACCGCCUGGGGAGUACGGCCGCAAGGUUAAAACUCAAAUGAAUUGACGGGG